AGCCCCGUCGUCUAGCGGCCCAGGAUGUAGGGUUUUGGUCCCUGUGACCGGGGUUCGAAUCCCCGCGGGGCUA
RNAcentral lists this transfer RNA (73 nucleotides) under Nanobdella aerobiophila. Its description in RNAcentral is "tRNA-Gln". It matches the Rfam family "tRNA". Rfam says of the family: Transfer RNA (tRNA) molecules are approximately 80 nucleotides in length. Their secondary structure includes four short double-helical elements and three loops (D, anti-codon, and T loops). Lineage: Archaea; Nanobdellati; Nanobdellota; Nanobdellia; Nanobdellales; Nanobdellaceae. The record is from RNAcentral.